GAUGAACGCUGGCGGCGUGCUUAACACAUGCAAGUCGAACGAUGAAGCCCAGCUUGCUGGGUGGAUUAGUGGCGAACGGGUGAGUAACACGUGAGUAACCUGCCCCUUACUCUGUGAUAAGCCUGGGAAACUGGGUCUAAUACCGGAUAGGAGCGUCCACCGCAUGGUGGGUGUUGGAAAGAUUUAUCGGUUUUGGAUGGACUCGCGGCCUAUCAGCUUGUUGGUGAGGUAAUGGCUCACCAAGGCGACGACGGGUAGCCGGCCUGAGAGGGUGACCGGCCACACUGGGACUGAGACACGGCCCAGACUCCUACGGGAGGCAGCAGUGGGGAAUAUUGCACAAUGGGCGGAAGCCUGAUGCAGCGACGCCGCGUGAGGGAUGACGGCCUUCGGGUUGUAAACCGCUUUCAGUAGGGAAGAAGCGAAAGUGACGGUACCUGCAGAAGAAGCACCGGCUAACUACGUG
RNAcentral lists this ribosomal RNA (466 nucleotides) under uncultured bacterium. RNAcentral's name for it is "partial 16S ribosomal RNA". It matches the Rfam family "Bacterial small subunit ribosomal RNA", at positions 28 to 507 of the family's 1533-position model. The record is from RNAcentral.